This 507-nucleotide ribosomal RNA is filed under the name uncultured bacterium. RNAcentral describes it as "partial 16S ribosomal RNA". It matches the Rfam family "Bacterial small subunit ribosomal RNA", at positions 28 to 507 of the family's 1533-position model. The record is from RNAcentral.
GAUGAACGCUGGCGGCGUGCCUAACACAUGCAAGUCGAACGCAUUUUCUUUCACCGUAGCUUGCUACACCGAGAGAAAAUGAGUGGCGAACGGGUGAGUAACACGUGGGUAACUUGCCCAUCAGCGGGGGAUAAAAAUUGAAAACAGGAGCUAAUACCGCAUAAUUCCAUUUACCGCAUGGUAGCUAGAUGAAAGGCGCUUUUGAGUCACUGAUGGAUGGACCCGCGGUGCGUUAGAUAGUUGGUGGGGUAACGGCCUACCAAGGUUGCGAUGCAGAGUCGACCUGGGGGGGUGAUCGGCCACACUGGGACUGGGACACGGCCCAGACUCCUACGGGAGGCAGCAGUAGGGAAUCUUCGGCAAUGGACGCAAGUCUUACCGAGCAACGCCGCGUUAGUGAAGAAGGUUUUCGGAUCGUAAAACUCUGUUGCUAGGGAAGGACAAGGAUGAGGGUGGAAAGUUCAUCCCUUGACGGUAUCUAACCAGAAAGCCACGGCUAACUACGUG